AUUUAUAUAGUUUAAUUAAAAUUUUACACUUUCAUUGUAAUGAUAAUGUAUACAUUUAUAAAUA
RNAcentral lists this transfer RNA (64 nucleotides) under Amphigerontia montivaga. Its description in RNAcentral is "tRNA-Glu". Lineage: Eukaryota; Metazoa; Arthropoda; Insecta; Psocodea; Psocidae. The record is from RNAcentral.